ACCGGGUGUUUUAGAGUACACACCUUGCGACAGAGGACCCGCGGGUCAUAGCUAGUUUGUACGUAACGUUCACCAAGGAACGAUGCGUAGCGACUUGAGAGGUGAUUCGGUCACACUGGACUGAGACACGUCCAGACUCCUACGGGAGGCAGCAGUAGGGAUCUCGCAAUGGACGAAAGUCUGACGAGCACGCCGCGUGAGUGAUGAAGGUUUUCGGAUCGUAAAACUCUGUUGUUAGGGAAGAACCAAGUACCGUUCGAAUAGCGCCGGUACGUUGACGGUACCUUAACCAGAAAGCCACGGCUAACUACGUGCCAGCAGCCGCGGUAAUACGUAGGUGGCAAGCGUUGUCCGGAAUUAUUGGGCGUAAAGCGCGCGCAGGCGGUUUCUUAAGUCUGAUGUGAAAGCCCCCGGCUCAACCGGGGAGGGUCAUUGGAAACUGGGGAACUUGAGUGCAGAAGAGGAGAGUGGAAUUCCACGUGUAGCGGUGAAAUGCGUAGAGAUGUGGAGGAACACCAGUGGCGAAGGCGACUCUCUGGUCUGUAACUGACGCUGAGGCGCGAAAGCGUGGGGAGCGAACAGGAUUAGAUACCCUGGUAGUCCACGCCGUAAACGAUGAGUGCUAAGUGUUAGAGGGUUUCCGCCCUUUAGUGCUGCAGCAAACGCAUUAAGCACUCCGCCUGGGGAGUACGGUCGCAAGACUGAAACUCAAAGGAAUUGACGGGGGCCCGCACAAGCGGUGGAGCAUGUGGUUUAAUUCGAAGCAACGCGAAGAACCUUACCAGGUCUUGACAUCCUCUGACAACCCUAGAGAUAGGGCUUCCCCUUCGGGGGCAGAGUGACAGGUGGUGCAUGGUUGUCGUCAGCUCGUGUCGUGAGAUGUUGGGUUAAGUCCCGCAACGAGCGCAACCCUUGAUCUUAGUUGCCAGCAUUCAGUUGGGCACUCUAAGGUGACUGCCGGUGACAAACCGGAGGAAGGUGGGGAUGACGUCAAAUCAUCAUGCCCCUUAUGACCUGGGCUACACACGUGCUACAAUGGGCAGAACAAAGGGCAGCGAAGCCGCGAGGCUAAGCCAAUCCCACAAAUCUGUUCUCAGUUCGGAUCGCAGUCUGCAACUCGACUGCGUGAAGCUGGAAUCGCUAGUAAUCGCGGAUCAGCAUGCCGCGGUGAAUACGUUCCCGGGCCUUGUACACACCGCCCGUCACACCACGAGAGUUUGUAACACCCGAAGUCGGUGAGGUAACCUUUGGAGCCAGCCGCCGAAGUGACAGAAGGG
Molecule: ribosomal RNA, 1277 nt
Filed under: Bacillus licheniformis
Lineage: Bacteria; Bacillati; Bacillota; Bacilli; Caryophanales; Bacillaceae
Description: bacterial SSU rRNA
Rfam family: Bacterial small subunit ribosomal RNA
Source: RNAcentral